RNAcentral lists this ribosomal RNA (593 nucleotides) under uncultured bacterium. RNAcentral's name for it is "bacterial SSU rRNA". It matches the Rfam family "Bacterial small subunit ribosomal RNA", at positions 338 to 917 of the family's 1533-position model. The record is from RNAcentral.
CCUACGGGAGGCAGCAGUGGGGAAUAUUGGACAAUGGGCGGAAGCCUGAUCCAGCCAUGCCGCGUGUGUGAAGAAGGCCUUUUGGUUGUAAAGCACUUUAAGCGAGGAGGAGGCUACUAGUACUAAUACUACUGGAUAGUGGACGUUACUCGCAGAAUAAGCACCGGCUAACUCUGUGCCAGCAGCCGCGGUAAUACAGAGGGUGCGAGCGUUAAUCGGAUUUACUGGGCGUAAAGCGUGCGUAGGCGGCUUUUUAAGUCGGAUGUGAAAUCCCCGAGCUUAACUUGGGAAUUGCAUUCGAUACUGGGAAGCUAGAGUAUGGGAGAGGAUGGUAGAAUUCCAGGUGUAGCGGUGAAAUGCGUAGAGAUCUGGAGGAAUACCGAUGGCGAAGGCAGCCAUCUGGCCUAGUACUGACGCUGAGGUACGAAAGCAUGGGGAGCAAACAGGAUUAGAUACCCUGGUAGUCCAUGCCGUAAACGAUGUCUACUAGCCGUUGGGGCCUUUGAGGCUUUAGUGGCGCAGCUAACGCGAUAAGUAAGACCGCCGUUGGGGAGUCGGUUCGCAAGACUUAAAACUUCAAAGGGAUUGGACGG